UCAGAAGACAGCGACGUGGCUUGGCGCCUUUUUAAAAGGCGCCUGGAAGAUAGCGAAGAGCUGUUCCAGCCACCCGCCACCGCCGUCGCCUAGCUUGCUGCUCGGGACUAUCGAGUUUGACGGACCGGACGGGAAGAGCGUGUGAUUAAAGAAGGAGAAAAAAGAACGUUUGAAGUGACGGCCCGCUGCCGCCGUCGCCCAGCCCGCCUCUGGCUGCAAACCCGCCGCACGGACUCCUGGAGUGCGAUCCGUCUCCUGCUGCCGGCGCUGCUGCAAGGCCGCAGGACUGAGCACAUCAUGAUGCCUCACAUUAUGACAACCCUCGCCGGUCCCCGGCUGGCCAUGGGGGAGGCCAACGGCUGACUCCAGAGGCAGCAACGAGCUCACGCCAUGACAGCCGGGACGCUUAAAUCUGCCAUCCGGUGCCUGUCUCAGUUGAU
Molecule: long non-coding RNA, 440 nt
Organism: Pollicipes pollicipes
Lineage: Eukaryota; Metazoa; Arthropoda; Thecostraca; Pollicipedomorpha; Pollicipedidae
Exons: 3
Source: RefSeq, a predicted model, not a curated record